The sequence is a non-coding RNA, 383 nucleotides long. It matches the Rfam family "transfer-messenger RNA". From Rfam's summary of the family: Bacterial tmRNA, also known as 10Sa RNA or SsrA, is named for its dual tRNA and mRNA-like properties. Its role is to liberate the mRNA from a stalled ribosome. To accomplish this part of the tmRNA is used as a reading frame that ends in a translation stop signal. The record is from Rfam.
GGGGCUGAUCGGUUUCGACGUUGAGACCAGGAAGUCGCUCGUGCGACCCGAGUUGCUCAGACUCGCUAAACGGGGCAACCAAAGAACCGGCAACUCCGAGUUCGCUCUCGCAGCCUGAUUUAGUUCAGUCUGAAGAGAGUCAUAGUGACCAGCAAUGGCGCACGGGGCCAGAUCCUCACAGCCCGGCAACAGAAGUGAGGAUGGACAGCAGGGAAAGACCGCUGACGGUGUGAAAGAACGCUGACUUCGAGGAAAGACUCGGCGGAGAUCGCAAGAUCAGUUGACCCGCCAGCGUGGCAACCGCAAGCCACACGUCGGGAACGGUCGUAGCGCGGACGGUAACCACUUAGCGGACGGGGGUUCGAUUCCCCCCAGCUCCACCA